This 230-nucleotide long non-coding RNA is filed under the name Elaeis guineensis (African oil palm). RNAcentral's name for it is "long non-coding RNA (EGUI_LNC023657)". The record is from RNAcentral. Lineage: Eukaryota; Viridiplantae; Streptophyta; Magnoliopsida; Arecales; Arecaceae.
GACUAUGGUAAGCUGACUACUGCACUAGCUGCCACGUGGUGCGAUCCUUUCACAAGAAGCAGUCUAAUUGCCCAAGAAGUGAUUACCUUCUUCCCAUCUGAUGUCUUGUGAUAAGAUAAUAUAUUAGCUUGGAUGUGGCCAUUAGCUUGAACUAUGUGUAGGAGCCCAUGUGCCUUCACAAGCCCAGCAUCAAGAAUUAAUCGAUCUCUCUACUGCAACCAUGUGCACAA